GGUCUUUUAGUAUAAUGGUCUUACAGCAACCCUUCAAGUCGCUAAUGUCAGUUCGAAUCUGGUAAAGACUA
Molecule: transfer RNA, 71 nt
Filed under: Lactifluus piperatus
Lineage: Eukaryota; Fungi; Basidiomycota; Agaricomycetes; Russulales; Russulaceae
Description: Lactarius piperatus tRNA-Glu
Rfam family: tRNA
About the family: Transfer RNA (tRNA) molecules are approximately 80 nucleotides in length. Their secondary structure includes four short double-helical elements and three loops (D, anti-codon, and T loops).
Source: RNAcentral